AGUGGGAGUGAGUAGUUGAGCACGAAAUCAGAUGGGAAAGCUUGAAAGCACUUGAUUUCUUCUCUUGAAAGCACUAACUCCCUUGAACCUCUUUCUCUUUCUUCUCUCUUGAAUGAUCUUGUGUUUUGGUUGGUGAGAAAUUGUUGGAAGGCACUUAAAAGCUCCCUUUUAUAGCCCAAAAAGCAAUAGAUCCGUUAGACACAAAAAUAUGACCGUUUGAAAUUCAAAUUUACCUGUAAAAGUGUGUCAGUCGCGUCCCAGGCGCUCCGGAGACGUCUCCGCUUGAACGCGAGACGUCUCGGCUGUAUAAAAUUUCUUUUGACGUUGUUUGGAGUCAACUCGGCGCUUUACGGGGACGACUCCGAAGAAGAACUCCUUGACUUCUUGUUUUUCUGUUUUUCUGAGAGAGUCGGCUCGGCACUUUACGGGGACAUCUCGGGAUGUUUGUGCUUUAUGCAUGGGGACGACUCCGCGACGUCGGGGACGACUCCGCCGUUUUAUCAAUGAAAAACACGUCCUCUGGAAUCCCCUAAGAGAGUUGACUCCCGCGCUCUCUGGGGACGACUCGAGAAGUUUGCUUUUUUACUCGUGGGGACGACUCCGCGUCCUUCGGAGACGACUCGCGCGCAUCCCUUGAAAUCGGCCUUUCUGCCGUCUCUGAGAGAGUCGACUCCGCA
This 677-nucleotide long non-coding RNA is filed under the name Phoenix dactylifera (date palm). RNAcentral's name for it is "long non-coding RNA (PDAC_LNC011524)". Lineage: Eukaryota; Viridiplantae; Streptophyta; Magnoliopsida; Arecales; Arecaceae. The record is from RNAcentral.